Molecule: non-coding RNA, 2148 nt
Organism: Camellia sinensis
Lineage: Eukaryota; Viridiplantae; Streptophyta; Magnoliopsida; Ericales; Theaceae
Source: RefSeq, a predicted model, not a curated record
UUUUGAGUUACUGCUUAUGUCUACAAAUUGGCUUUCAUACUUAACCAAAAAAAAAAAGAAAAACAAAAGAAAAAACAAGAAUAGGGUUAAGUUAGUAGUUUAUUGGUGGUAGUUGCUACAUAAUUGAUGUCUGUUGGGCUAUAUAUAAUAAAUCCACGUGUUUUUUGGGAGAUAAAUGUAGACCUUUUUUUAUUCACUGGCAACUGAGCAGCGAGUAGUAACACAAGUGAUGAAGACUAAAGAAUUCCUCAACUGAACAGUGUGUCAACAACCAGGUAAUCUCAGUUAUCACUCAAGAAUUCCUUCACUUACAUUGCUGCCAUUGCUUGGAAAUGGAGACUAAAUUGGGCGUCGGUUUUUUUUGGUUUUUAUUUUUUUCAUUUAUCCUUUUCGAUGUUGUGAUGCAAAGCGUCAUUCUUUGGAAGCUGACAUGGGCAUGGAGAUAGAAGGUGAUGGGUGUGCCCGCAUAUCUUCAACUCGAUCUGGAAGCAGAUCUCGUCUUGCCUCCUGCACCAGCUGGCAGAGUUGACAACCAGAAAAACUACAUUUGAGCCUUCAACAAUAUCAAUUGCUCAACAAGGCCCAUAAGACUCGGUAUGCUUCUAAAUCAUCUCAUAACAUCCACAAAACCUCUCUCAAAGAUAAUAGCAAAAACGCUAGAUUUGACCGCAAUGUUGUCAAGGGUGCUCGGGCUGCUCGAAUUCAGCAAAACAAAUGUGAACUUUUAGACCCUGUUGUUGCUGAAGCUACACUGGACUUUCGGAAUCUUAACAAGAGAAAACUUUUAACUAAUUUCCUUACAUUUCUCCCUCAGGCAUGGUUGUUAAUUCUCUACACAGGUUUGGCUUUGCGAGAGAACAUACUUAGAGUGAAUGGAAGUGAUAUUCGCCCAUGCAGCAAAGAGUAGACACAAAUAUUGCAGAUGGCUGUGAUGCUCUGAAUCUGGGUGUGGCUGCUGAUAGCCUUUGGUUGUUUUUAUUUGUGGUGUUUGGCUUGAGGUUUGAUCUUGUAGUUGAAGGUUGGUAAUGGCGAAGAUUGCAUACCUCGUAAUGGACGAUGGAAUUUUAACAAGCAACUCUUCACCCCCAUCCGAAUAGAACGGUGGGAAGUUGUCAACGUCUCUGCUCAUUGUGAUACAAGUCAUCUUUCCCGAGAACUUAUUAACUGUGGAAGGAACAAGGGCAUUGCAUCAGGCUCAGGAUAAGCGGGUUUGUGUUUGCUUCAUGAUCCAAGCAUCAUAGCUUUUGUGUUGUUGCAGUUUUGACAAGUUUCUGGUUAUGCACUGGACUUGUUUGUGGCAAGGUCUCAGAGAGGGAUUUUGGGAUUUUGGACUUGUUUUGUUUGUACUUAGCUCUUGUAAGAGUUGAAUAGAACUGAGUCAUCCAUUUUUGUGGGGCCCAAAAAUGGGUUACCCAGAUCUAUUUUUGACAUGGCCUCUUCAGAUUUUUGAUCUUUGGAUCUGUUGUCUUUUAAAAUGAGGCCUUUGGCUGUCCUGUUUGCGUUUCUUCCUCUGUCUGGUUGAUUGAUUGAUUAAAUCUGUGUCAACAAUCUUGAGAUAUAAAUGUUAGUUUAAUGUGUGCAGGAGGUAAAUAAGAUGUGGGCAGGUUUUAGGUUAUUACAGACAGGCACGAUAUCUACUAGAGAUGAGCUCUUUUUUUGACUCUUGUGCAUCUAGAUAUUUGUAACACUAUUCGAUAUGAAUCUAUUUCUUGUUGGAUUUCAUUUGGUAUUAUUUAAAAAUGGCAUUCUUAAUGGAUAGGAUGUGCUCUUUCAAGUUCAUCGGUUGACAGCGAUGCUAACCAAUUUCUUAUUCUCUAUGGCAAGAGACUCCAUGUGAGCUACUAAGUUUCACCAAUGCAGCAGAUUCUGACGCUGUAUCUACUGAAUGGGAAGUUGAGAGUGAUGAUGAAAGUGAGGAAGAAUCUGAAUAUCAAGGCUGCAGCAAAGAGGAUCUAUGUUGAUGUUGAUUGGCAAUGGUGGAAAACAGUUCGGGCUGCAUCAGAAGAUUUGAUUGUGUUUUUGGAUAUUUUGACAUAGGAUUUUGGUAAAUGAUUUAUAGAUUUGAUGUUUAGCAUCAAAAUAUUUAGUUUUGUGUUUUUGAAAAUAUUUUGACAUAGGAUUUGGUAAUGUAUUUAUGGGUUUGAUGUU